GAUGAACGCUAGCGGCGGGCCUAAUACAUGCAAGUUGAACGAGAUUGUUGGUAGCAAUACUGACAUGAAAGUGGCGCACGGGUGCGUAACACGUAUGUAACCUACCUUUAACUGGGGCAUAGCUUCGAGAAAUCGAAAUUAAUACCCCAUAACAUUUAGAAAAGGCAUCUUUUCUUUAUCAAAGUUCCGGCGGUUAAAGAUGGACAUGCGGUGCAUUAGCUUGUUGGUGAGGUAACGGCUCACCAAGGCUACGAUGCAUAGGGGGUCUGAGAGGACGAUCAGCCACACUGGGACUGAGACACGGCCCAGACUCCUACGGGAGGCAGCAGUGGGGAAUAUUGGACAAUGGGCGAAACCCUGAUCCAGCAAUGCCGCGUGUGUGAAGAAGGCCUGCGGGUUGUAAAGCACUUUAGUUAGGGAGAGUGUUUGAAGGUUAAGAGCUAUCAAGCAGGACGUUACCUAAAGAAUAAGCACCGGCUAAUCCGUGCCAGCAGCCGACGG
This 501-nucleotide ribosomal RNA is filed under the name uncultured bacterium. RNAcentral describes it as "bacterial SSU rRNA". It matches the Rfam family "Bacterial small subunit ribosomal RNA", at positions 28 to 520 of the family's 1533-position model. The record is from RNAcentral.